Molecule: long non-coding RNA, 3439 nt
Organism: Dama dama (fallow deer)
Lineage: Eukaryota; Metazoa; Chordata; Mammalia; Artiodactyla; Cervidae
Exons: 4
Source: RefSeq, a predicted model, not a curated record
AGGUUUGGAUGAAUUCCUCUCUUCUUGAGGUCCUCCAAAUAUCCCGAAGUACCUGCAUCUGCCAGGAACUAGCAUCCUUUAUUCAUCUAUCUGAGAGGAAGAAGCUGGUUUUUGUUCUGACAUUUGUCAGCCAAAGAUGGAGAGGCUCUACACAGCGAAAACAAGACCUGGAGCUGACUAUGGCUCAGAUCCUGAGCACCUCACUGCAAAAUUCAGGCUCAAAUUGAAGAAAGUAGGGAAACCCACUAGCCAUUCAGGGAACUUCACUGGAAAAGACCCUGAUGCUGGGAAAGACUGAAGGCAGGAGGAGAAGGGGACAACAGGAUGAAACGGUCAGAUGGCAUCACUGACUCCAAUGGACAUGAGUUUGAGCGAGCUCCAGGAGAUGGUGAAGGACAGGAAAGGCUGGUGUCCUACAGGGGGUUGCAAAGAGUCAGACACAACUGAGGGACUGAACAACAACCGGUGGUCCAGUGGCUAAAACUCUGUGCUCCCAAUGCAUGGAUUCAAUCCCUGGUCAGGGAAUUAGACCCCACAUGCUGCCACUAAUCCUGCAUAAUGCAAAGAAGUCUGAAGAUCACAUGUGCCAUAAUUAAGAGUUGACAUCACGAAAUAAAUAAAUAAAUAUUAUAAUAAACAAAAAAAUACUUCAGGCCUGAUUAACUAUAAAAACUAUCGCUCUACAUAUUUCAAUUGCUGCAAAAAUCCCUCCCCACAUCAGCUUUACUAAAUGAACAAUCACUAAGUGAAAGAAAUCAGCUCCUUUCAGAUUUUCCUUAGCAAAAUGCCCACUUUCAAAAUAUAGAAACUGUGGCAUAAAUACUUGUCACAGGAUCCAUAUUAUAAAACAGAUUACCCUAAGAUAAAAAGGUGAUAAAGCAUAUUCACUUUCAUUCUUCAGUUUGGAAAUACUUGGUACUAUGGGUAGAAAGUGUCAUAUAAGAGAAAAAGAUGAUGAAAUGUCCAGUACAGGUUAAGUGUCUAUUAUUAGAGAUGAGUGACAGUGAAGCAGGAGAUGCACUAGCAUUACCAAACAGCCACAGUGUCUGUCUAUCUGCUCUGCUACGCCUUAUAUGUUAACAGUUCAGCUGGCAAGGACUCUUCUGACUAGAUAUGUAAGGCACUCAUAUAUGCCCAUCAGGAUGAGUUCUUAUGUAAUUUAUGAAUUAAAAAAUAUUCAUUCAUCAUAGUGAUUUAUAUAUGUAGAAUACUCUUGUAAUGUGUGCACUCCAAAUUAUAAGAAAAACAUAGUGCUCGCUUCGGCGGCACAUAUACUAAAAUUGGAACGACACAGAGAAGAUUAGCAUGGCCCCUGCGCAAGGAUCACACGCAAAUUCGUGAAGUGUUCCAUAUUUUUUCACCAGCCCAGGUUGGAUGCAUGAGACAAGUGCUCAGGCCUGGUGCACUGGGAAGACCCAGAGGGAGCGGGUGGAUCAGGAUGGGGAAUACAUGUAAAUCCAUGGCUAAUUCAAGUCAAUGUAUGACAAAAACCACUACAAUAUUGUAAAGUAAUUAGCCUCCAACUAAUAAAAAUAAAUGGAAAAACAUAACUGCACACUCUAAGUACCAUACACAAAUAUUCUAAUGCUCAUGAAGUUAUUUAAAAAACUAGUACCUUGUUCUAUACUUACCAAAAGCCAUCCCAUUUAUUUAAAAUACAGCCUUUUAAUCAGGGCUUUAAGUCAUGACUUUCUUGAAGGGAAAUACUAAGUAAAAAUUAGGGCUUUGGGUUUAAAUUUUUUUCAUAAAUAUCUUCUAAUAUUAUCAAAUAUCCAGUAGGGUAGUUAAAAAAUCAAUAAGUAGCAAUACCCAGGAAUAUUUUUCAAACUACAUAGUGCCCCUGUCCCCGUAAGAUUUAAAUACUCCUUUUUCUUCUUUUUGUGACUAUACAAUUAAAACAAAUGUUUUUAGAGUUCCAAUAUUUUUUAUCAUAAAUCUCAUUUUCUUUAUUCUUCCUCCUCUUUCAUAAUUUCAUAUAAAUCAGUGGUUUUCACCACACAGGUGAAAUGUAUCAGGUGGCAAUGUGAAUACUUAGGGUCUGAAAAUCUCUUGUAGCAAUUCUAUUAUGCACCCAUACACAAAACCAUUUUAGUCGUGCAAAAUGGAAGACAGAAUAUUUGCAUUGAGAAAGAACAAGUCCAACUACAUAAAUAUAUAAUGUACAUUAACAAAAUUAGGAGGAACAUGGGGAAUAAUCUUAAUUGCCUUAACACUCUUUUCUCUACAAAGUGACAGACUCUCUUGUUUAAAAACACUUUACAACUUUAAUACUUCAUUGAUUUAGUCAUAGUAAGCAAUUAUCAUAAAGAAAAACUGAUUAGGAUUUUACUAAUAGUUUCUUUAAAACCACAUUUACAUUAAAGUAGAGCACCAAUUCACAUUUCUUAUCCUUUUCUUAACUUUAAAGACUUGAAAUAAAAAGAUCUUUUCUCUGUUAGAUAUCUCUUUCAUGGAAGAAAAGGAAAAAACAAACUCAACUAACUGCUGCCUUGAUGGGUUCUGCCUACAAUGAAUGAGUUUCCUAGAAACUGUGGCUAACUCAAUAAGAAUAAAAUAUGAAAAAAUAAACCACACUUACCAAGGAACAAAAUUAUUUCAAUUUCUUUUCAAAUAAGUCAAAACUUUGUUCUCUUAUAUUAAACAGUUGAAAAACAUCAACCUGGAGAAAACUGGGGGCGAUGUCCAGACUAAGUUUCCAAAAGUCAGUGAGUUCGCUUGUCUUCUGUGUUGUAAGGGACUCUUCGCUUUGGAGGCGAUUUAACUCAUUUAGAACAUAGACUCAGGAGAAGAUAAUGAUUUUACCAGCCAACCCUUCAAGGGAGCUGGCAUAUUUAUCUUCAUGGGGCACAGAACAUACAGUCAGUACUUUUUUUUUUUUUUUUUACAGUCAGUACUUUUAACAUAUGUUUGUUAAAUGAACACAACUUGCAGAAAAAAGUUUUAUGUCCAAGUGCAUUAAAAAGAGGUAAAUACUCAACACAAUACUGAAUAGAGAUAAUAUGUACUGAAAAUUCAACACUUGCAGUCAAGGACUAAAUUUCUACUAGCCCACACCCUGUAACAAUGUUACAGUGCUGUUGUUUCACCAGGCUCUUCUGUCCAUGGGAUUUCCCAGGCAAGAAUACUGGAAUAAGUUGCCAUUUCCUUCUCUAGCGGAUCUUCCCAACCCAGGGAUCAAACCCGAGUCUCCUGCAUUACAUGCAGAUUCUUUAUCACUGAGCCUCCUGGGAAUCCCUUAUAACAAUAAUUAAGUCAAAAACCUCAAAAAGUAACUAAAUUACAUACUCAAUUCUAAAUCAAGGUUUAAAAUAAAAGGCUGUAAGAAAACAUGAAAUGCCAUAUUUACCCAGAAAUCCCCUCUCUCUGGGGGAAAUGACGCUAGUCACGCUAAUAAACUUAGUUUCUCUUUUUUUUUUUUUUUUUUUUUGGCUGAGUGAUA